Molecule: long non-coding RNA, 689 nt
Organism: Esox lucius (northern pike)
Lineage: Eukaryota; Metazoa; Chordata; Actinopteri; Esociformes; Esocidae
Exons: 3
Source: RefSeq, a predicted model, not a curated record
CAUGUGCAGACAGUUCCCUCCACCCAGCUUUGUUCUGUCAUGAAGCUGGGAGUUGUGAGAUUAGGUGCAGUUCAUAUCUGCAACAGCAAAUUUGGAAACUAUACACUAUCUCAGAAAAAAGGGGUUAUAACUUAUAAGAAAGACAGGAGUUUAAGACAGAUAGGACUGAUAUUUACAUUUUCCCAGGGCAGCAGAGAGAGACAGUAGCCGCAGUGAAGGAGCAGACAAUGGUUUUCUCAAAGCUAAUGAGGGGACGGGACUAACAAUCAGAGGUCGCAGUCAAGCACAUAGCACCAGAUAGUAUCAGACUGUGAAGAGGGACAUGGGCUGGGACCAAAAAAAGGCCCUGGACUUUGACCCAAAUCAGCCCACCCACCGGCCGAUGCACAUUUCCAACAGCAACAGCACCACAUCGUUAUCUAGCAUCCAUCAUGAUUAACACUAGAACCAACAGGCCUUUUUGACCCCCAGGAUCCGCGAGGACCCAACGCCAUUUGACGUCAUUAGCAUAUGAAUCGCCCGUAUUAGCAUGGACAUUCUCCUCCACAGCAUCACCAUCCAGCCAGAGCAUCAGUUUAUCUAAUUGGUCUUUAUCCAACUAUAUAGAAAAAAUGAGGAAUUACAGAAUUUGUUUGUUUUAAAUACUUAAUGAAUUAGAAAGAUACAAGAAUGUGUUUGUAAUGUAGGUC